GCCGAAGUGGUGGAAUUGGUAGACGCGCUGGUUUCAGGGACCAGUGGGCGCAAGCCCGUGGGAGUUCGAGUCUCCCCUUCGGCA
Molecule: transfer RNA, 84 nt
Filed under: Desulfoluna spongiiphila
Lineage: Bacteria; Pseudomonadati; Thermodesulfobacteriota; Desulfobacteria; Desulfobacterales; Desulfolunaceae
Rfam family: tRNA
About the family: Transfer RNA (tRNA) molecules are approximately 80 nucleotides in length. Their secondary structure includes four short double-helical elements and three loops (D, anti-codon, and T loops). Further hydrogen bonds mediate the characteristic L-shaped molecular structure. tRNAs have two regions of fundamental functional importance: the anti-codon, which is responsible for specific mRNA codon recognition, and the 3' end, to which the tRNAs corresponding amino acid is attached (by aminoacyl-tRNA synthetases). tRNAs cope with the degeneracy of the genetic code in two manners: having more than one tRNA (with a specific anti-codon) for a particular amino acid; and 'wobble' base-pairing, i.e. permitting non-standard base-pairing at the 3rd anti-codon position.
Source: Rfam by way of RNAcentral